Molecule: RNA transcript, 5023 nt
Organism: Sorghum bicolor (sorghum)
Lineage: Eukaryota; Viridiplantae; Streptophyta; Magnoliopsida; Poales; Poaceae
Gene name: protein OBERON 4
Exons: 3
Source: RefSeq, a predicted model, not a curated record
GCCAAGCGGCGCCGGGGACGCAGGAGCCGCGUGUCCGGUGUCCCUGACCCUAGCCCCCUACCCAUCCCACCACCUUCGGCGGUAGUAACCCGGGGCAUUUCUCUGUUACCGCGGUGAGCUGGGGGGAAAAUCUCCGACCCGGGUCCAAAUCCAGGCGACGGCCGUUGACUGCGACCGUGAGGCAGUGGCCGGGAGCGAGCGAGAGGAGUGACUCAGAAGCAAAGCGGAGGCGGCUAGAGACGACGAGAGGGACGGCAGCGGAUGCGGCUGCGGAUGGAGCGGUGACCAUCUCGCGCACGCCUUUCCCCGUGAGCGCUGCUCCUGGCUUUCCUUAUCUCCCCUGAGCAACCCCACCGCACCCUUGUCGGUGAAUCCGAGGGCCGGGGUUGGUCUCGGCGGCGGCAUGAAGCGGCAGAGGUCGUUCGGCGACGGCCUGGACGACGACCGGCGGAGGUUCUACGACCGCGGCCCCCCGCCGCCCCCGCCGCCGCGGCGCCCGCCGCGGGAGUACGACGGCGACAGGUUCGAUCGCCGGAAGGGGUUCGGUGGCGGCGGCGACAGGUUCCACGACAGCCGGUACCGAGAGUACCCCUCCCCAAGGGAGUAUGGUGGGGACCGGGCGAUGCACCGGUCCGAGAGCUUCUCUGGCUUCCGUCGGGAGUUCCCCAAGGGUUUCCGGUCGGAGCGUGACAGGUCGCGGCGGGAUGGUGACGGCAGCUCGACGUGGCGUCGGCCGGGAAGCGGGUGGAGGGACGCCGAGUGUUUUGAGGAGUACAGGGCACCCGCCAGGCUGGGAGCGCCAUCGCUGCCUGGGCAGCCGCGGCGGUCGCGGUCACGGUCGCCCAGUGAGCCGAGAAAGAGGUUUGAGGUUGCCAAGGCAGAGAAGCCGAGGAAGCACACUGCGGGCAUCAAUGAGGUGGAGGAAGGGGAGCUCGCACCUGAUGCUGAGCCCAAGGCCAGGCCUGCUGCCGUGGAGCAUCGGAAGCAGGUUGAGCCAAGCCGUGUUAAGGAGAAGGGGCUGGAGAAAGGUAAGGUGAAGAAAUUGAAUCCUGGGGUCCAAGCAAAUUUGGGAGCUCAAGCUAAUGAAGCCUCUAGUGCAUCUGAUCCUGACAAUGCAGCGAAAGAGGAGGAAGGCAAGAAAAGGGAUGGUGUACUGCUGGCUGAAGCAAUGGAUGAAGCAUGUGAGAAGUCUUCAGCGAUGGUUACAGAGGAAGUCAGUGGAGGACAUGAGUUACAAGCACUAUGUGUGGCUACCACUGAUGCUAGUAAGUUUGGGCUGACCACUUCACCCAUGCAGCAAGGAGUGGUGCAGGAGGAAGUGAAGCCAGAAGAAGAGACUACCAAUUCGGUUGACAUGGUUGGGGAGAGCACUUUCUCUACUAUGCUGAAGGAGGGUACUCAGGAAGAAGCAACAACAAGAGAUAAAACUAACAAUGAUACUGAUGAAGUCAGAGAGAGUGCUUCAUCCAGUUUUAGUCAAGCUGCGCAGGAAGAAGUGAUGGCAUUACACAAGACUGCCAAUGCUGCUACUGAGGUUGCAAAGAGCAUUUCACCUCUCAUUCAGCAAGAAGUGCUACAGGAUGCAGUGUUGGAGUUAGACAGUACUGGCCAUGCUGUUGAUGAGGUUGUGAAUAGAGCUUCCUCUGAUAUGCUGCAGGAAGUUCUUCAGGAAGAAGUGAUGCAACAUGAUGGAAGUGCCGAUGUUGUUGAUAUGGUUGAUACCGGCACUUCUGAUCUGCCGCAGGAGGCAGUGCAGGAAAAAACGAAAAUAUUGGAUGGAACUGCCCAUACUAUCGAUACUGUGGAACCGGUCAGUUAUUCUGGUAUGCUUAAGGAAGCGAUGCAUGAAGGAGAGUUGACAAUGGAUGAAACUGCCAUUACAACUGUUGUAGCAGGACAAAGUAAUUCAUCCGGUAUGGUGGAGGAAGCAAUGCUCGGUAAAGCAGUUGUGCGAGAAGUAACCUCCAGUGCUGUUAAUUCAAUUGGCGAGAGCAAUAUGUCUACUGGGCUGCAGGGAGAGGUGAUGGUUUCUCAAAACCAACAGGCUCCUGAAAGUAAAGAAUUUAAAAAAUUAACUGCAAUUGGAGAGAUGGAUGAGCCAACAGAAGAUAUCACAUCUCAGGCCGUAGAAGGGGAACUUGAGAUGCAUCAUUGCGAAAAAAGAGGUACAUCAGAGGAAACCAUGAUAGUAGAAAAGGAGGCAUCUGUUAUGCAUGAAAAUGUUGAGAAACAAGUUAAAGGAUUUGAUAUCGAGGCCAAAGCUGACUGUGCCCAUAUGUUCCUUAAACCAGCGAAAGAACGUACUGCGGGUAGUAAUGAAGGGGUUGCCAGUACAAGUCUAAUGACAAGGGAGAUGACUGAAGAUAAAGGAAAUGACAUAGCAUUUGAUGUUCUUAGUAAGAAAGUUAAAGUAGAUCAUUCAAGUUCAGUGGGAAGAGGUCUUGACUCAACAUUGCAGCUUGGUGUAGAACCAACACAAACAUCAAAAUCUGCUUCAGCCACUGUUGUAAAGACAGAACAUGACACAACCAAGCUAGAGAAACUUGAUUUGUCAUUGAGCUUAUCAGUUUGUUUACAGAAUUCUGAAUCUAAGUCUUCGAUUCCUAAAACUGCUUCUUUAGUCCAUGCAGCAUGCUCUCAGCCGUUACCAUCAUCAUCUUUCCUCACUAACUCAAAUGGGUUCCCAACUCCAAUACCAUUGACCAAUUCUCAAACACUUGGUCACGAUCCUAGUUGCUCACUUACCCAACAGUCAUUAGACAAUUAUGAACAUUCAGUAGGCAACAAACCUUUCUUUAUGGGAGUUGAUCAGAUGAGCAAUCACACAGGAAGGCAAGCUCAGCUAUCUAGUGAAUCUGCACAGAAGGGGAGUGCUACCCCACUGCUUCAGAGAGUACUCCAAAAUGGCCAUAUGGCAGAUAAUAGCACUUUGUCUGGGAUGAAAGGUCAUAACAGUGGAAUAUCCACUGACCUACAGAGGCAAAUCCCAGGAGUUUUGUCGCCAACGCAUAGUCGUGGUUCUCACGACUCUGGAUUGGAACAUAAUAGACAUAGAAGGCAACUUACAAGAGAGAGAAGUAGCAACAGCCUUACAAGGGGUGAACGGCAGGAGGGGGGACAACUUGUCAUUAAUGGUGCUGGUGUCAUUGAGAGGAUUAUUUCCAAGGUUGUUUCAGAACCUUUGCAUCUUACAGGAAGGAUGCUUCAAGAGAUGACAGAAAAUUCUAUAACUUAUUUGAGGGAGGCCAUUUCUGAAAUCAUAGUUGAUCCAGAUAAAAGAGGACAAAUAAUUGCUUUGCAGGAGGCACUCAAGAAAAGAUCUGACUUGAAUAUUGAUAUGUUGCGAUCAUGUCCACGUCUUUUGAUGGAAAUACUUGUUGCUAUAAGGACUGGCCUUCCAUACUUUAUAAAGAAAAGUAGUAGUGUUGCUACAUCUAAUUUGGUCGACAUUUUUCUCAACUUGAAAUGCCGAAAUCUCUCAUGCCAAAGCAUUCUGCCAGUGGAUGAUUGUGAUUGUAAAAUUUGUCAGAGGAAGACUGGUUUCUGUAGUUCUUGCAUGUGCAUUGUUUGCUCAAAGUUCGACUCAGCAUCUAAUACUUGUAGUUGGGUUGGUUGUGAUGUAUGUCUUCAUUGGUGCCACACAGAUUGUGGCCUACGCCACUCUCUUAUUCGAAAGGGGCAAAGUGCUUCAAGAGCAUAUGGAACUACUGAGAUGCAGUUUCACUGUGCUGCCUGUGGACAUCCAUCAGAGAUGUUUGGUUUUGUGAAGGAAGUAUUUCGUACAUGUGCGCGGCAAUGGAGGAACGAGAUGCUGGUUAGAGAGUUACAAUAUGUAGAAAGAAUUUUUUCUGCAAGUGAUGAUGUAAGGGGCAAGAGGGUCAGGGACUUCGUGAAGCAGAUGCUAAUUAAGUUGGAAAACAAGGCUUAUCAUCCUGAAGUUGUCAGAUGUGUAAUUGCAUUCUUUUCUGAUGAUGGUGCUAACUUCGGCAUUGAUCCAUCAGUACCACUGAAAGGCAUUCCAUGCAGCAUUUCUGAAGCUAUUGAUGGGAUUCCUAGUUCAAGUCGGAAGGCAGCAUGGAUACCGUUUACCUUAGAGGGACUUCCAGUUUUAGACAAAACAACUGCUCUUCCUACCACAGGGAUCCCAUCUGUGCCUAGAAAUUCUGGUGAAGCUAAGUUUGAGACAAUUGAUAAUAAGCCUGCCACUGAUGAACUGGAUAGCCUGAUCAGGUUAAAGCAGGCUGAAGCGUAUAUGUACCAGGAACGUGCAAAUGAUGCUCGGAAUGAGGUUGACAAUCUGAGACAUAUUGUUGUGGUAAAAAAUGCACGAAUUGAGGAAGAUUAUGCCACCCAAAUUGCUGAUCUUGACAUAAAUGAGUUACAAGAGCGGCGCAAGCAAAAGAUUGAAGAACUCCAAGUCAUUGAAAGAACACACCAUGAAUUUCGCAGCAUGAAAACUAGGAUGGUGGCUAGCAUUGGGGAGUUAUUGUCAAAAAUGGAGGCACUGAAACAAAAUCAAAGCACAUGAACUGAGGUUACCAUUGCAGAAAUUGAAGUUGCUCAACUUGUUUAAGGAAGCCUGCACAUAUUGUUGGCUUUCUUUGAACAAUAAUAUUUUUUGCAACAUUCGUGUCAUCUUCCUUGAACUUGAAGGCCACUUGGUAAUCUCGCUAUUCACGUACGAAUAGUGCUUCGUUACAAAUUACAAGGUGGUGGAAAGCAUCGAUAUAGUGAGGAGUACAUGUAUGAAGUAUGACUUUAAUGCCCGGGAAAGCACGAGAUUGAAGCGAACUGAUUGGUUAGAUUCCUUGUAGGACAUAUUUAGCCGGGUUUAAGUCCUCGACACAUGUGCAUCAGUGCAUGUGCUCGACAUUAAGCUUUUAGUAUGCGUGCGUAAUUCUCAAAAAAAGAAAAAAAAAUCCCAUGACCCCUCGGUAGCCAAUACAUGUAACACGUUAUGGAGAUUGGAGAUACCCAUUGAUUCGGCUAGAUUCUCAGAUUCAAGAAGUCCGAUUUUUUAGCA